GGGGGAGGGGACGAAGCUGCCUGCCGCCAUUUUGCUUGUGGGCUGCCGCCCGCUGUUGCCUCUUGGCACAGAGGCUUGAAGACAGGCAACUGGAGGCAGAGAGGUGGGCAGAGUCUCCGUCUUUUUUCAGAACAGAUGCAUUCAACAAUUUACAGAAGUCUGGCCUCCAGCGCUGGGUGAACUCGUUUUGGGUGUCACUCGACGCCCACUAGGGGCUGAGGAGGCUCCAGUGCGCAGACUCCGGGCACCGGAUAAAAGCGGAGCUGGAGCGUCCAGCGCCGUCUCGAUGGAGGAGCGAGAAACGGAAGAGGUCGGGGGGAGAAGCAGCAGGAAAAAUACAGCCACCGUCAGCGCCGCUUCCCUGCCACCGUGUAUCGGGGUAAAAAGCUGCCGUUGCCGUCGGUGCAGUUGCCGUCGCUGCCUCCUACUUCUCUUGGCCCCGGGGAAGGAUUUCCCCGCCGGCGGGACAAUGUGCGGGGUGGGGAGCAGGAGUUAACCUUUAUGUGGCGGUGAUUAAACGAGGGAGGGACAGAGAGACGGUUAUCUCGAAGAAAAAAGGGGGAUGCCAAAGAAUAAAACAAGGGUUUCCCCACUAAAAUAACAUUGUGAUUCCGGUUCUUGUUUUCGGGGUCUUUCCCCGAAAUGGCGGUUUCCGUCUUCUUGCUCCACAGAGACCCGGAGCGCUUGGUAAGCGGAGUGGGGAGAGGCAGAGGCGGUCCAUGCGGCCAAUCAGUGCCUGGUGUGUCCUGUCGGGCUAGUAGUGAUUGGCUAGCGAUGACCUCAUGCUGCAGCAGCGGGUGGGGCCAGAGCCGUCGGGGGAGGCUGUUGCAAAGGCAGAGAGGGAGAAGUGACGAUGGUGAUGGUUGCUGCCGCGGCCGAUAUGGAACCCAAGCAGUGGCGAAGAGAAUCUCAAGGCUCUUCCCUGAGUAUUUUCUCCUGUCCUUGCGCGAGGUGAGGGCCCCGGCUCGGCCCCUGCGAAACCUUGGGGCGCUGGCGCGGACGAGGAGACACCAUUUCUCUCAUGACUUUUGUAACUGCGUCAGGGCAAGAUGGCGCUGGGUCUCCUUGGGGCGCGGGGGGAGAGGCACGUCCACCGCCGCCGCAGCGCAUGUGACCGGGCUGCAUUCCUGUGGGGUUUGGCUCCGACCCAGGCUGGGGCGGGGGAGGGGAAAGGGCUUGGGCGGAGGAGACUGUGGUGCGGUCGGCGUUGGCGGCCUGAAGAGGAAGAGAUGACUGUUUGAGAGCGCUUCCCCUCCCCCAUACAGCUUACGGUUGCGGCUCCCAGAGGAAAGCCCCUGGAGGGACACUCCUUUUGGGUGUGACGGCUGUUGGUGGAGGAGAAGGUUUGGUGCCCUAUUUUCUUAUCUACCUUUCUCCUUGCAAAGUACUUACGUAAGGUGGCAGGUUCCUAAUGUGGGAAUCUACUAUGAGUCCCUGAGGGCCUCUGGACUGAGUAAAGAGGGGAGAGACUAGCUCCUGGGCCACGACGACGAGCGGUAUCAGUUAUUUUUUGAGAAGACGUAAAAUUUCUCAGAUCCUAGUAGAAAAAUGUUUCCUAAAUUUGGAAGCAAAGGUAAAAGGUGUAAACACCCAGGAACACUUAAAAUCUCCGAAGUUACAGGGAAUUUGCCAUCUGAAUUUUGAGGACCUUUUUCAGGCUUUCUGUUCCUUUCCUAUGUACUUUGUUCUCGUAUCCUCCUUAUCUGUGUAUUCUACAAGAAUGUGUAAUUUUAGCGGAUUUGCUUUUCUUUCUAAAUUUAGGCGUGAUCAGUAAUAACAAUAAAAGCGAUAGUGUUGUGAUCUGUAUGAAGUUGUAAGGAUGUUUUCAGUACUUUCGUCUUUCUGUCGCCCUCUUAACUAUGGUUUUUAAAAAUAAAACAUGAAUUCACUUUC
This is a long non-coding RNA of Herpailurus yagouaroundi (jaguarundi), 1893 nucleotides long. RefSeq lists it as uncharacterized. The transcript has 2 exons. NCBI's taxonomy places the organism in Eukaryota, Metazoa, Chordata, Mammalia, Carnivora, Felidae. The record is from RefSeq and is a predicted model, not a curated record.